GUAGGGAAUAUUGGGCAAUGGUCGGAAGACUGACCCAGCCAUGCCGCGUGCAGGAAGACGGCCCUCUGGGUUGUAAACUGCUUUUAUCUGGGAAGAAAAAGGCCAUGCGUGGCAAAUUGCCGGUACCAGAUGAAUAAGCACCGGCUAACUCCGUGCCAGCAGCCGCGGUAAUACGGAGGGGGCGAGCGUUGUCCGGAUUUAUUGGGUUUAAAGGGUGCGUAGGCGGCUGAUUAAGUCAGCGGUGAAAGACUUCGGCUUAACCGGGGCAGUGCCGUUGAUACUGGUUGGCUUGAGUGUCGGAGGGGUACAUGGAAUUGCUGGUGUAGCGGUGAAAUGCAUAGAUACCAUCAGGAACACCGAUAGCGAAGGCAUUGUACUGGCCGACAACUGACGCUGAUGCACGAAAGUGUGGGGAUCGAACAGGAUUAGAAACCCCUGUAGUCC
RNAcentral lists this ribosomal RNA (444 nucleotides) under uncultured bacterium. RNAcentral's name for it is "partial 16S ribosomal RNA". It matches the Rfam family "Bacterial small subunit ribosomal RNA", at positions 354 to 796 of the family's 1533-position model. The record is from RNAcentral.